Long non-coding RNA from Bacillus rossius redtenbacheri, 1186 nucleotides. RefSeq lists it as uncharacterized. The transcript has 4 exons. NCBI's taxonomy places the organism in Eukaryota, Metazoa, Arthropoda, Insecta, Phasmatodea, Bacillidae. The record is from RefSeq and is a predicted model, not a curated record.
GUUGUAAUGAAAAAUCUGUCAAAGGAGCAUCGGUGUCGUUUCACAGUUUUCCUGGAGAUGAAUUGAGGAAGAAGUGGACUCUAUCUGAGGCGGGAAAGUUUUGUGCCAUCCAAGCAUUUCAGAAUUUGUUCUAAACACGUCUCCCAAGAUUGUUUUGACAAGGAAGCUUGUUCCAACUGUUUUUGACUUUCCGGCACAUUUACAGCCUAAAAAUGCCAAGAGGAAAGCACCUACCGAGAGAAGCCAAAUUAUGUCUCAGUCGCAUGAAAACGCCACCACCUCGCAGCAAUCCACUACCAAGGAUAUUCAUACAGUUGGAAAAAAGUUAAGAUUGGCAUAUCUAGGUGACUUCAAUGAGAAGAACCUGACUUCCCAGCAGAAGUAAGAAGUGCCUUGGUGCUGCAAAGGAAAUAAGAUUAAAAUACCGUAAGAAACUGAAACUCCUUCGUCAGCGGUGUAAACGAGCCACUGCAAAAAUAGUGAGCCUUCAGGCAGUUAUAUCGCAUCUGCAGGACAAGAAACUGAUGGGUGAUGUUGCUGCAGAUACACUACAGAAAUAUUUGCCACCUGCUGUUGCGGAUCUCAUCCAGCGAUGGAAGAAGGGGCCAACCAGAGAAGCCUAUCCUCCAGAGCUGAAGACGUUUGCUCUGACACUGAAUUUCUACUCGGUAAAUAUGUAGUUCAGCGGUAUUUGCGAAAAAAAAUGUUAAAAAUCUGAAAAUACUUUUAUUGUAUGCUCUUCAACUUCCUCUUUUCAUUAAAAGCGGCGGAGAUAAGAAAUUCCAAAUACUUUAGGAGAUAUCGCCGUUCUUAUUUUGCUAUACAUAACCUGUGUAAUCAUUCGACCGUCGCAAUUUUUUAUUGCCAUGUGUUUUUGAAUGCCUAAUUAAUGUAAAUGGUCGAUUAGGUCAGGUCAGUUACAUUAUAAAUACAUUGAAACUAAGCGUACAUAAAAAAUAAUAUGAAUUAAUUUCAAUGGUUUUUUAGUUUUAAAGUAUUUAUAAUGUAACUGACCUGACCUAACAAACCGGGACAAAGGAUGAACAGUAACAACUCACGUAAAAUUUUUUUGUUACUUAUUACUUGCGCAACAAUAUCCAAAUAACAAAUAAGACUUUAAAAUUAGAAACGUUAAAAACUCACCUAAGUUGGAGGCGGUAAUUAAACACUGUUUUAAACAAUAAAU